ACCGGCGAACGGGUGAGUAACACGUAGGCAACUUACCUUGUGAACGGGAAUAACCCCGGGAAACCGGGACUAAUACCCGAUGUAGUCCCAAUACGACAUCGUGUCGGGAUGAAAGGUCCGUAAGGACGUCACAGAUGGGCCUGCGUCCCAUUAGAUAGUUGGCGGGGUAAUGGCCCACCAAGUCGACGAUGGGUAGCUGGUCUGAGAGGACGAUCAGCCACACUGGAACUGAGACACGGUCCAGACUUCUACGGAAGGCAGCAGUGAGGAAUAUUGCUCAAUGGGCGAAAGCCUGAAGCAGCGACGCCGCGUGAAGGAUGAAAUCCGUUAGGAUGUAAACUUCUUUUGCAGGAGAUGAAUGUCCCGACUUGUCGGGAUUGACCGUACCCUGCGAAUAAGGAUCGGCCAACUACGUGCCAGCAGCCGCGGUAAUACGUAGGAUCCAAGCGUUGUCCGGAAUUACUGGGUGUAAAGGGUCCGCAGGCGGGCGAGCAAGUCGGUGGUGAAAGUUCACGGCUCAACCGUGAAAUUGCCUUCGAUACUGCUUGUCUUGAGUUCGAGAGAGGAUAAUGGAAUUCAUGGUGUAGCGGUGAAAUGCGUAGAGAUCAUGAAGAACACCAGUAGCGAAGGCGGUUAUCUGGCUCGAUACUGACGCUCAGGGACGAAAGCGUGGGUAGCAAACAGGAUUAGAUACCCUGGUAGUCCACGCCUUAAACGAUGGAUGUUCGGUGUCAGUCCGCAAGGAUUGGUGCCUGAGCCAACGCGUUAAACAUCCCACCUGGGGAGUACGAUCGCAAGGUUGAAACUCAAAGGAAUUGACGGGGGCCCGCACAAGCAGUGGAGAAUGUGGUUCAAUUCGAUGCAACGCGAAGAACCUUACCUGGGUUUGAAAGGCAAGUGACAGGCGAUGAAAGUCGCCCUCCCCGCAAGGGGCACUUGUACAGGUGCUGCAUGGCUGUCGUCAGCUCGUGCCGUGAGGUGUUAGGUUAAGUCCCGCAACGAGCGCAACCCCUGCACUUAGUUGCCAUCAGGUCAAGCUGGGCACU
This 1046-nucleotide ribosomal RNA is filed under the name uncultured bacterium. Its description in RNAcentral is "bacterial SSU rRNA". It matches the Rfam family "Bacterial small subunit ribosomal RNA", at positions 94 to 1139 of the family's 1533-position model. The record is from RNAcentral.